AUAAUUGAAUAGAAUAACUUAUGUCAUCUAUAAAUUAAUUAAUUAAAAAUUAAUUUGUUAUAUUUGUAAAAGUAAAUCACCGAUCGUUGCCUAUAUCAGUAAUCAACUAAAGGACGAAAAUACUGACCGUUCCUAGAGCAAGUGGCAAAGGACUUCGGGGUUGGUAUCCGAGAUUCAAGUUCGAAUCCUAGUUGAUUCACAUCUCCAGCAAAAUUUAUUUCUAAAUAAAAUGAACGAAACAAAAACUUAUGCUCCGAUAUAUUAUUACAUCAAACAAAAUCCUCGUCAUUAAUUCCCCAACU
RNAcentral lists this long non-coding RNA (302 nucleotides) under Ananas comosus (pineapple). Its description in RNAcentral is "long non-coding RNA (ACOM_LNC004497)". Lineage: Eukaryota; Viridiplantae; Streptophyta; Magnoliopsida; Poales; Bromeliaceae. The record is from RNAcentral.